AUAACGACUCUCGGCAACGGAUAUCUCGGCUCUCGCAUCGAUGAAGAACGUAGCAAACUGCGAUACUUGGUGUGAAUUGCAGAAUCCCGUAAACCAUCGAGUCUUUGAACGCAAGUUGCGCCCGAAGUCAUUUGGCAGAGGGCACGUUUGCCUGGGUGUCACA
Molecule: ribosomal RNA, 163 nt
Filed under: Angophora costata
Lineage: Eukaryota; Viridiplantae; Streptophyta; Magnoliopsida; Myrtales; Myrtaceae
Description: 5.8S ribosomal RNA
Rfam family: 5.8S ribosomal RNA
About the family: 5.8S ribosomal RNA (5.8S rRNA) is a component of the large subunit of the eukaryotic ribosome.
Source: RNAcentral